UACGUAUGGUGCAAGCGUUAUCCGGAUUUACUGGGCGUAAAGGGAGCGCAGGCGGCGCGCCAAGUCUGAUGUGAAACCCCGGGGCUCAACCCCGGGCAUGCAUUGGAAACUGGCGGGCUGGAGUGCCGGAGAGGUAAGCGGAAUUCCUAGUGUAACGGUGAAAUGCGUAGAUAUUAGGAGGAACACCAGUGGCGAAGGCGGCUUACUGGACGGCAACUGACGCUGAGGCUCGAAAGCGUGGGGAGCAAACAGG
Molecule: ribosomal RNA, 253 nt
Filed under: uncultured bacterium
Lineage: Bacteria
Description: partial 16S ribosomal RNA
Rfam family: Bacterial small subunit ribosomal RNA
Source: RNAcentral